This 1556-nucleotide long non-coding RNA is filed under the name Lactuca sativa (garden lettuce). RNAcentral's name for it is "long non-coding RNA (LSAT_LNC002479)". Lineage: Eukaryota; Viridiplantae; Streptophyta; Magnoliopsida; Asterales; Asteraceae. The record is from RNAcentral.
UUUAUUCUUUAUCAUUUUCGUCUACCGUAUUCUUCUAUGAUUUAUUUUUUUUAUUCUUUGGAAUUUCCGUCAAACAUAUUCUUCUACCCUUCAUAUUUUCUAAAAAGAAUGACCCGUACAAAACACCGAUCUUUUCCUAGUUGGAAUUAAAGUUUGAAGAUUGGAAUUUAUUUUGUUAUAUAUAAGCAAAGGAGGGGUUGUUUUAUUUAAAACACACCAAAGUUUUGGGGGAAAGGACUUAUUUUGAAUAAACGGUUCAGCAGGGGUUUAAUGUGUUCAGUUUAUAAAAUCAAAUGAUUUUAGGGCUUUUUCUGCCCCUUGCCCUUUGUUGAUCGGGCAAAGGAAAAGAAUGAACGAAGCGAUGAGGGUAAAUACGACGAACACGAAGGCAGUCACGAGGGGAAAACACGGAGGCAAAACAAAUCGGGAGCAAAAAUCGUUUGGGGGGUUCGAUCCUCGUCUGAUCAGGGAAAAGAAUCACGAACGAAAGCUAUGCGAGGCGAGGAUUUCGAUCGAGAAAUGAAGAAGGACACGCGAAUGGGGAGCAGCGACAGGAAGGUUUCGGUGGCGAGUAGUCGAUCGUGAGGAGGGAACGUCUCUGGGGUCGACGAGGCCGAAGAAACGAAUGGAGAAACAGCGAGGCUACUUUUGUUCUCGUCUGGCUUUGAGGUGCGAAGGAAGGAGGGGUCCGACGAGAUUCCGGGAGGGGAUAGGCAGCAGCGACGUCGUGGGUGGGCUUCGGAGGGGUUUUCUCGACGGAAGAAGAAGAGAAAGAUGCGAGGGCAGAUGGUUCGGCGAUUGGAGGUCAAUCGCAUGAAAGAAGAAGGUAUCUCCGUUUUUUUUUUCUUUUUUUCUUUUCUUUUUUAGACAGAAAUGAAUGGAGCGUUUGGGUUUUGAUGUUUCACAGGUAAUGAAGAAGGAAGCAAGAAAUGUGAUGAGGCUGCUUCUUCUUGAAAGGAAAAAAGAAAAGAAUGAGAGGCUGAUACCUCUUUGCUAUUCACCCGAAAAAAGAACCACCUCCGGUGGUUCUAGGCUGCCACGAAGAAGAAGAAGAAAGAAGGGAGAUGAGGUGAAGCUUUGAAGGAUUGGAGGCAGCAUUAAGAGUAAAAUUUCUCAUAUUUCUUUAUGAUUUAGUUGUUCCACUGAGAUCCAUUUUGAGUAUUAUUCUUCUUUAGCUUGAAUGCUCAAUGUAAGGAAAUGGCAGCAACAACACGUUAGUGAGACUUGUAGACUUUCUUGGUGUUGGUAUAAUGCAGGAGGGUACCUUGAAUGACAUUUUAGUGAGACUUGUAGACUUUCUUUUUGUUAGAUGAACACUUUAUGAGUUGUACAAUUGAUUGGUAAAGUGUGUAAGUCUCACUUUGUUUGGCUGUCAAUUUAAGAGGUGUAUUUGAUUUCAAUUUGCAAAUAAUGUAUUGAUUUUAUCUCUUAUGUAUUUGUGUAAUUUAUUGGUUUAAUUAUUUAUGUAUAUGUGUGUAGGUAUUAUUGAGAAAUGGUAUUGGUUCAAUAUGUAAUUUAUGUGUAUUGAUGUAUAUUUCUAAUAGAUUUAAUGUACA